CAGAAACAUUUUCUAGGUGCCUCCUGUGUGCUGAGUGCUGAUGGAAGCCUUGCACACCAGGUGCGAGCAGAUGAUCAGUGAGACUGAGACAGGUCCCUUUCUGACCUGAGGUUUGACAACUUCCUUCUCCCUUACUGGUGACCCUAUUCCAAGACAUACCAGCAGCCGUGAACAGAAGACAGGAGACCCUUGGUCAGUGGAUAAAAUUACAGUUGUGAGUAAAGUUCGAAGAUGGCAGCGCUGCACGUCUUUGUUCUUAGAACUCCUCAUCGUCUUGUUAAUCUGGAAGCUUCAGGAGUGGUGGGGAGCUUCUUGGUCUGUAAGUCCUUCUUCAUUUUUCACCUAACAGGACAUAUUUAAGAGACCACGUCUCUCAAAACCAUCUCGGGCAGGGUUGCUGCCAAUAUCUGCUCCUUGCAAACAGCAAGGAGACUUAAAAACAGCAACAGCACGUCUCUAUGGGGCCCCCAGCCCUUUCUUUAUCAAUUCUUUCCUUUAAUAAAGAGAAAUUGUUGUGCUAUAUUGUGGCAGAGUUUGGGGCUUACAGAGAUAGAAUGGGAAGUAAAGGGCGACUGGCUGCCGCUGUGCAGGCGCUCUCUGAUUGUAAAACCAACCCAGUAACGGAUAAUAACCACCUUAGUGCGCUUAUCAAGGCAGUUCCUCUCUGGGAUGCAGAAGAGGCCACUGGAGACAACGUGCAGGCCUCUCACCGCUCCCGUUCAUUAACAAGGCACUGCUGGCUGCAGCUCAGGCUCCAUUACCUAGAGGCAACAAUGGCCGGGACCCGCAUUGAGUUGUAAUUAGGCUUGAUCAGGGCUAGGGUGCAGUUGCCAUAAUCAGGAUCACUCGGAAUUAAAUGUAUACUUGUGAAAGGAAAUGAGGUGAGAUUGAUUUAAUGGUAACCAAAGCAACCCCCUUUUCUGUAACCGUCUAAGCUUAAAGAGAGAGAGAAAGAGAGGGAGAGAGAAAAAGAAAAAAGCAGGGCAAAGGAAUACAGAAGAUGACCAUUUUAGUUUUAUGCAAUUUAUUGCAACUAGUUAGGAGAAAAUGUGUUUCAAUAAGAGCAAAUCUGUUCUAGCAAGGUGAUGGCUGGGUCCCAGAGAGCUUUGUAGGUCUCACUCCGUGCCUAAAGCAGAUCCUGUGAUUCUUAAUUUCCUCCUCCUUUUUGUCCAUUUCAUAUGUGUUUGGAAAUAGCCUGAUUAGGGCAAGAAUUUCAAUUUGCAGGAAAAGGAGGAGGAAAGUCAAGCUGGGCACUACUUCCUUUCUCUGGUGAGAAACAGUUCUUCAGUCUUUUACCUUUGGACCUAUGUAUAUCUCAGACCCAGUGACCGCCAGCUGAUCUGAGAGCAAAUAGAAGAUUUCGGAGACCUGUUUGUGAAACAGUUUAAGAAGUUGCAGAGAUGUGCACUAUUUUAUUCAAUUUUACUCAGUUGUUUUACAGGUUAGCAAGAUGCCGCUCUGGGAAUAAAAUCUCACCCUUAAGGUUUGAGAUAAUUAGUGAAACGAGCGCAUAUGCAUACAUUUUCAUUUCUGCACAUACAUGCAGAUAUUGGUAUACAUGAUUUAUUCCAUUCAUACAUGUGUGAUCUCUAAUAUUUAGACAUCGUAAGUGAAAUAUUUGCUCUUUCUCUUUUCUCCCCCUUGGCAGAUUUAUGAAUCUCUUCCUACAGCACAUCAGGUUCAAAAGGAAAAAUAUCACAGUCAUUUUGAGGCUAGGAUACUGUUAAAUAUGUAGAGAAUGGCUUAAAGGGAGAAGCUUUGUUUCUUAAAUACUUCUCAGAUGAUUAUGUGGAUGAGAAAAUGACGUGUAAAUAUUUUGAGCCAUUUGAGUGAGUAGCAAGUGUUGAAACAAAGUACAUUUCUUCCAGAUUUUAAAAAAAAAACUCUCUAGCUCUUUUUUUCUUUCUCUGUUGGAUAUAACACCUUAGCUAUUCAAAUAAUAAAACUAUAAUAACCUUCUGAAGAAAUCAUUGAGGUGAUUGGUACAUAUUAAUGCAUAUCUGACUAUGUGGACAUCUCAUGUGUAGGUUUGUAAGUGAACCUAAGUGAGGUCAUCUAGUUACGCUAAAUGGCCCAGCCCCUCCUCUGUGUGACCACCCGCUGCUCUGCGCGUACUCUAAACAGUUCACAUGCUCUCUUGAUUGAUGGCCUUCGCUUAUGUGUGUACUCCUCCAUAGCUUGGUAAAUUAAAACUUUGUUCUAUGAGUUUCUCUCCAGGAACAGGCUGACCACAGGCCGGAAACACACCUACAAGGUAUUCAGCAUCAGUGACAGAAGAAAAGAACAACGAAGACCCUGGAGUCCGUCCUGCCUGAAGGCUGACAUUUCUAAACCCCCUCCUUACUGCCCAUUUUCCUGAUGUAACUGCCUCAAGAUUCUGUAAUCCUUGAAGAUGGUUUUUUUGAGACAUUAUUCUGCCAUCUUUCUGAUUAUGCCAGCUAAUUGAAUUAAAGCGUCAUUUCUUGGUC
Long non-coding RNA from Equus quagga, 2468 nucleotides. RefSeq lists it as uncharacterized. The transcript has 3 exons. The record is from RefSeq and is a predicted model, not a curated record. Lineage: Eukaryota; Metazoa; Chordata; Mammalia; Perissodactyla; Equidae.